This is a long non-coding RNA of Nicotiana attenuata, 241 nucleotides long. RefSeq lists it as uncharacterized. Lineage: Eukaryota; Viridiplantae; Streptophyta; Magnoliopsida; Solanales; Solanaceae. The record is from RefSeq and is a predicted model, not a curated record. The transcript has 3 exons.
AGUUACCACCUCCGUUUUCUUCUUGAUAUCUAUCUCUCACUCCGUAUUUUGUUUCCUUCUCUCCUGUAAUUGUCCAUCGCUUCUGGGUAUCAUUUUACCAUUUGUGGUUCUAAUUUUCAUUCGUUACUUUUGGGCUAUGGAAUUUAAACUACGCAGACUAAUGAAUCCAAGGUGUUCGGUGAUAUGCCUGAAAUAACUAACUAUUUAAUCCAGGUACCUCUACUCAGGCUUACCAUUCUUG